Molecule: ribosomal RNA, 490 nt
Filed under: uncultured bacterium
Lineage: Bacteria
Description: partial 16S ribosomal RNA
Rfam family: Bacterial small subunit ribosomal RNA
Source: RNAcentral
AUUGAACGCUGGCGGCAGGCCUAACACAUGCAAGUCGAACGGUAACAGGAAACAGCUUGCUGUUUCGCUGACGAGUGGCGGGCGGGUGAGCAAUGUCUGGGAAACGGCCUGAGGGAGGGGGAUAACUACUGGAAACGGUAGCUAAAACCGCAUAACGUCGCAAGACCAAGGAGGGGGACCUCCGGGGCUCUUGGCAUAGGAUGGGCCCAGGUGGGAUUAGCUAGUUGGUGGGGUAACGGCUCACCAAGGCGACGAUCCCUAGCUGGUCUGAGAGGAUGACCAGCCACACUGGAACUGAGACACGGUCCAGACUCCUACGGGAGGCAGCAGUGGGGAAUAUUGCACAAUGGGCGCAAGCCUGAUGCAGCCAUGCCGCGUGUGUGAAGAAGGUCUUCGGAUUGUAAAGCACUUUCAGCGGGGAGGAAGGGAGUUAAGUUAAUACCUUUGCUUAUUGACGUUACCCACAGAAGAAGCACCGGCUAACUCCGUG